GGGUCAGUAGGUUGGUCGUGCCACCGGUACGUACUGGUCUCACUGAUUCCUCCUUCCUGAAGAACCGUAAUGCCAUUAAUUUGGUGUUGCGGGGAAACAGGACUGUUACUUUGAAAAAAUUAGAGUGUUUAAAGCAAGCUAACGCUUGAAUGCAUUAGCAUGGAAUAAUGAAAUAGGACGAUCGAUCCUAUUUUAUUGGUUUCUAGGAUUGACGUA
RNAcentral lists this ribosomal RNA (216 nucleotides) under Glomeromycotina sp. RNAcentral's name for it is "partial small subunit ribosomal RNA". The stretch from base 40 to 216 matches the Rfam family "Eukaryotic small subunit ribosomal RNA", at positions 686 to 864 of the family's 1831-position model. Lineage: Eukaryota; Fungi; Glomeromycota. The record is from RNAcentral.